GACGAACGCUGGCGGCGUGCUUAACACAUGCAAGUCGAACGGAAAGGCCCCUUUGGGGGUACUCGAGUGGCGAACGGGUGCGUAACACGUGAGUAACCUGCCCUUGACUUCGGGAUAACUUCAGGAAACUGGGGCUAAUACCGGAUAGGAAUCCUUGCUGCAUGGUGGGGGUUGGAAAGCUUCGGCGGUUUUGGAUGGACUCGCGGCUUAUCAGCUUGUUGGUGGGGUAGUGGCUUACCAAGGCUUUGACGGGUAGCCGGCCUGAGAGGGCGACCGGCCACAUUGGGACUGAGAUACGGCCCAGACUCCUACGGGAAGCAGCAGUGGGGAAUAUUGCACAAUGGGCGGAAGCCUGAUGCAGCAACGCCGCGUGCGGGAUGACGGCCUUCGGGUUGUAAACCGCUUUCAGCAGGGGCGAAGCUUGUGGUGACGGUACCUGCAGAAGAAGCACCGGCUAACUACGUG
This 465-nucleotide ribosomal RNA is filed under the name uncultured bacterium. RNAcentral's name for it is "partial 16S ribosomal RNA". It matches the Rfam family "Bacterial small subunit ribosomal RNA", at positions 28 to 507 of the family's 1533-position model. The record is from RNAcentral.